ACUCCUACGGGAGGCAGCAGUGGGGAAUAUUGCACAAUGGGCGCAAGCCUGAUGCAGCCAUGCCGCGUGUAUGAAGAAGGCCUUCGGGUUGUAAAGUACUUUCAGCAGUGAGGAAGGUGGGUAGUUAAUAGCAUAUUCAUUGAUCGUUGAUGCUGCAGAAGAAGCACCGGCUAACUCCGUGCCAGCAGCCGCGGUAAUACGGAGGGUGCGAGCGUUAAUCGGAAUUACUGGGCGUAAAGCGCAUGCAGGUGGUUUGUUAAGUCAGAUGUGAAAGCCC
RNAcentral lists this ribosomal RNA (277 nucleotides) under uncultured bacterium. Its description in RNAcentral is "partial 16S ribosomal RNA". It matches the Rfam family "Bacterial small subunit ribosomal RNA", at positions 335 to 603 of the family's 1533-position model. The record is from RNAcentral.